GCAUUUAGAUAGUUUUCCUUUCUUUCAUUCCUUGAUCAUGCGUUGAGAUGACUUGAAUUUGACUUUUAAAUAUCUCUUUCGCAAAUAGCUCGAACACACACAUCCUCAUUUGUUGAACGAUGAACGCGGUGCUGGAGUGGUACUACCCGCGGUGGUGGUCGAGCUAGGGUUCACCAAGCUUAAGCUCAAACAAAGACACAGGGGCUUCUCAGCCUAUAGUUAUGAAUGGGGGACAACCCCAAGUUGUGUCAGAACAUAUGAAUGCUCCACCACCAAUGUUGUACCUAUUAUUUCAUUACCCACAAAUACAAUGGCAAGGUUGUUGAAUGUGUUAGAGGCAUUGGUGCCUACUCAAGGUAGACUUCCAGUUCCUCGACAAACACAAGUUCAGCUAAAUGUUGCAGCUCCGUAGAUACCUCAAAUGGUCCCUCAGCAAGUUGUUCAGCCAGUUGCAACUAUAGGUCAGUCUAAAGAUCUAAAGAAUUUUAUAGAUCUUAAGCCACAGGAGUUCGAUGAUACAUCGGCUUCUAUUGGGCCUCAAAAGUUUAUUGAACAUUGUGAAAAGAUACUGACUACGUUGGGGUAGAAGGAGACUCGUGGUGUGGAGUUUGUUACUUUCCUAUUUUCAGGAUCUGUAGAAUCAUGGUGGACUUCAGUUCAGAGAGGUAGACGAGCAGGGUUGCGACCUAUUGCUUGGUCAGAGUUUUCAGCCAUGUUUAUGGACAGGUUCAUUCCACUAAGCAAACAAGACGACAUGAGAUGUCAGUUGAGCAAGUCCGUUAGGGCACUAUGAUUGUUACAAAGUAUAAGGCUAAGUUCACUAAGUUAGCCAGGUAUGCGCACUUUCUAGUUGUAAAUGAGCAUGAGAAGGUGAUACGGUUUGUGGAUGGACUUGAGCAUCGUUAUCGUGGUCCUGUGGUUAGGAUAUGUGAUACUUUGUAACCACAGGAUCACGAUAACGAUUCUCAAGUCUAUCCACGAACCAUCUCACCUUCUUAUGCUCAUCUACAACCAAAAAGUGUGCAUACCUGGCUAACUCAAUGAACUUAGCCUCAUACUCUGUAACUAUCAUAGUGGCCUGACGCAAUUGCUCAAAAUGAUGUCUCAUGUAGUCCAACUUGCUCAGUGGAAUGAACUUAUCCAUAAACAUGUUUGAAAACUCUCACCAAGUAAUAGGUGGGAACCCUACUUUUCUACCUCUCUAAAUUGAAGUGCACCGUGACUCUACAGAUCCUGAAAAUAGGAAAGUAGCAAACUCCACGCCACAAGUCUACUUCAGCCCUAAUGUAGUCAGUAUCUUUUUACAAUGCUCAAUAAACUUUUGAGGCUCCAUAGAAACCGAUGUAGUAUCGAACUCUAGUGGCUUAAGAUCCAUAAAAUUCUUAAGAUCUUUAGACGGACUUAUAGUUGCAACUGGCUGAACAAUCUGAUAAGGGUCAUCUGAAGUAUAUAAGGAGCUACAACAUUCAGCUGAACUCCUGCUUGUACCUGUGAAGUAGCCUAAGGAACUGGAAGUCCACCCUGAGUAGGCACUAAUACCUCUAACACAUUCAACAACCUCGCCACUAUUUCUACAGGUAAUGAAAUAGUAGGUACAACAACUGGCAAUGGUAGUGGAGCAUCCUGAACCACAUGUUCAUUCACCUGCUUUGGCACAAAAACUUAGGAUGGCCCCAUUUAUAACUCCAGGUUGAGAAGCCUCAUAUGUUCUUGUUUGAGCUUAGUUUGGUGAACCCUAGCGUGACCACUACCACGGGUAGUACCACUUCCAGCACCGCGUCCAGCAGAUGCAUUUCAUCGUCCAGCAGAUGAGGAUGUGUGUCCUAGCCAUCUACGAAAGAAAUAUUUAAAAGUCAAACUCAAGUUAUCUCAACGCACAAUCAAGGAAUGAAAGAAAUAUUUAAAAGUCAAACUCAAGUUAUCUCAAUGCACAAUCAAGGAAUGGAAGAAGGGAAAACAUCAUAAAUGCUUAGUAGCCUCAAGAUCAUAAAUAUGGCCUUUAUAUACCCAUGAACAAGAUUACUAAACACUGGUCCAUGACCCGAAACGUAAAGCCUACGCUAUUAUACCAACUUUGUCACAUCCCAAACUACUCCCAGACGUGCACUCAGCUAACACCACCCACCAAGCGAACUAGUUUAUCGUACACUUAACCAUUUAAACACGCAUUGAAAGAUAACAUGUGCAAUUCCAAACACAUUAAUAAUUAUUAAAUGCGAAAUAUUAUCCAACCAAAUAUAUGAUCGAGUUAUAGAAAAUGCUACGACUACUCAAACAAUAAAUCUCUAACCCAAAUCCACACUAAGAUCAUGGAGCAUCUAAUAGAGCAACAUGAGUUUAACUGACGGGCAUGCAAACCUCAAAAUAAAGAACAUAACUAGCAAAAAUUAGAUAAAGCUAAAGUGACAGCCUCCACGACCAAUGUGGUGGCUCACCUCAGCAACAGAAUCAGCUCGAAUAAACUCGUCAGCCACUAGUCUCGUCCCCCAACAACGGUAUCUGCAUGGACAUGCAGGUACGAAGUGAGUUAUAUGUAAAUAUAAUCCAGUAAAAUCCUUGACCCACCUCUUUGAAUAUUCCUGAAAUAAGUGUUAGAAAGUACAAACACAACAACAAGCACAAAAUAAUGUGUACGAUGAUU
Molecule: long non-coding RNA, 2641 nt
Filed under: Nicotiana tabacum (common tobacco)
Lineage: Eukaryota; Viridiplantae; Streptophyta; Magnoliopsida; Solanales; Solanaceae
Description: long non-coding RNA (NTAB_LNC003584)
Source: RNAcentral